GCACUGAUUAAGAGUCCCAUAAUAGGACGAAACGGCUGUCCAGUGC
Non-coding RNA from Schistosoma curassoni, 46 nucleotides. NCBI's taxonomy places the organism in Eukaryota, Metazoa, Platyhelminthes, Trematoda, Strigeidida, Schistosomatidae. The record is from Rfam.